AACGAACGCUGGCGGCAUGCCUAACACAUGCAAGUCGAACGAGACCUUCGGGUCUAGUGGCGCACGGGUGCGUAACGCGUGGGAAUCUGCCCUUGGGUUCGGAAUAACAGUUGGAAACGACUGCUAAUACCGGAUGAUGACGUAAGUCCAAAGAUUUAUCGCCCAAGGAUGAGCCCGCGUAGGAUUAGCUAGUUGGUGAGGUAAAGGCUCACCAAGGCGACGAUCCUUAGCUGGUCUGAGAGGAUGAUCAGCCACACUGGGACUGAGACACGGCCCAGACUCCUACGGGAAGCAGCAGUGGGGAAUAUUGGACAAUGGGCGAAAGCCUGAUCCAGCAAUGCCGCGUGAGUGAUGAAGGCCUUAGGGUUGUAAAGCUCUUUUACCCGGGAUGAUAAUGACAGUACCGGGAGAAUAAGCCCCGGCUAACUCCGUG
Molecule: ribosomal RNA, 433 nt
Filed under: uncultured bacterium
Lineage: Bacteria
Description: partial 16S ribosomal RNA
Rfam family: Bacterial small subunit ribosomal RNA
Source: RNAcentral